AGAACAUGUACGAGAAGUUCUAAGGAAUGGAAAACAUCUUACUAACCGAGAAAUCAGGAAUCAGAUUGAACCACGCGAUAACGUGGAUGCUCGCAUCUUCCCUGAUAAAAUGGAUAGAGGUUACGAUACAUUUUCAGGUUUUCAAUUGUGCUGUUCUAUGUUGAGAAGUUUGCCAAUGCCGAACCGCACGUUGUUUGAUGCCGAAAUGCAAAGCGGAUGAUUGAAUGGACUCCUCCGGUUCGGGUGAGACAGAAGGGAUCAUUAUCAAAAGCCGCCUGCGCCGGUUCUUGCUUAUCUGAUAGUGACGACAGGGAGUACGAUGAUGAAGCGAGCCAGAUCAAACAGUAUUUGGAAUUGCUGUGUAAAAUUCAAGAGGACAAGUACAUUUACCAUAACUAUAUGGAACCUUUGGUUCAUGCUUAUAAAAUGUCCGGCCUGGAUGAAAUUCGGUUAAAUUGCGGCAAUCGAACUCAAUCUGGGAUCCGUUAUUCCAACGUACGAGUUGCAUGCCAACAAGGGUCGUGCCAUUCAAAACACCUUUUGCGAGGAUUAUCUGGUGAAAAC
This is a long non-coding RNA of Wyeomyia smithii (pitcher-plant mosquito), 564 nucleotides long. RefSeq lists it as uncharacterized. The record is from RefSeq and is a predicted model, not a curated record. The transcript has 4 exons. NCBI's taxonomy places the organism in Eukaryota, Metazoa, Arthropoda, Insecta, Diptera, Culicidae.